UGUAGUCAUAUGCUUGUCUCAAAGAUUAAGCCAUGCAUGUCUAAGUAUAAGCAAUUUAUACAGUGAAACUGCGAAUGGCUCAUUAAAUCAGUUAUCGUUUAUUUGAUAGUACCUUACUACUUGGAUAACCGUGGUAAUUCUAGAGCUAAUACAUGCUUAAAAUCCCGACUGUUUGGAAGGGAUGUAUUUAUUAGAUAAAAAAUCAAUGUCUUCGGACUCUUUGAUGAUUCAUAAUAACUUUUCGAAUCGCAUGGCCUUGUGCUGGCGAUGGUUCAUUCAAAUUUCUGCCCUAUCAACUUUCGAUGGUAGGAUAGUGGCCUACCAUGGUUUCAACGGGUAACGGGGAAUAAGGGUUCGAUUCCGGAGAGGGAGCCUGAGAAACGGCUACCACAUCCAAGGAAGGCAGCAGGCGCGCAAAUUACCCAAUCCCGACACGGGGAGGUAGUGACAAUAAAUAACGAUACAGGGCCCUUUCGGGUCUUGUAAUUGGAAUGAGUACAAUGUAAAUACCUUAACGAGGAACAAUUGGAGGGCAAGUCUGGUGCCAGCAGCCGCGGUAAUUCCAGCUCCAAAAGCGUAUAUUAAAGUUGUUGCAGUUAAAAAGCUCGUAGUUGAACCUUGGGCUUGGUUGGCCGGUCCAUCUUUCUGAUGCGUACUGGACCCAACCGAGCCUUUCCUUCUGGCUAGCCUUUUGGCGAACCAGGACUUUUACUUUGAAAAAAUUAGAGUGUUCAAAGCAGGCCUUUGCUCGAAUAUAUUAGCAUGGAAUAAUAGAAUAGGACGUUAUGGUUCUAUUUUGUUGGUUUCUAGGACCAUCGUAAUGAUUAAUAGGGACGGUCGGGGGUAUCAGUAUUCAGUUGUCAGAGGUGAAAUUCUUGGAUUUACUGAAGACUAACUACUGCGAAAGCAUUUACCAAGGACGUUUUCAUUAAUCAAGAACGAAAGUUAGGGGAUCGAAGAUGAUCAGAUACCGUCGUAGUCUUAACCAUAAACUAUGCCGACUAGGGAUCA
This 1011-nucleotide ribosomal RNA is filed under the name uncultured Candida. RNAcentral's name for it is "SSU rRNA". It matches the Rfam family "Eukaryotic small subunit ribosomal RNA", at positions 19 to 1055 of the family's 1831-position model. The record is from RNAcentral. Lineage: Eukaryota; Fungi; Ascomycota; Saccharomycetes; Saccharomycetales.